AUUAAGGUGGCAGACUAGUGCGUUGGGUUUAAGCCUCAAAUAUGGAAUAAAACUUUUGUUUCCCUUAAUA
Molecule: transfer RNA, 70 nt
Filed under: Auchenoplax crinita
Lineage: Eukaryota; Metazoa; Annelida; Polychaeta; Terebellida; Ampharetidae
Description: tRNA-Leu
Source: RNAcentral